CACGUAGGCACCAAGCGUUGUCCGGAUUUAUUGGGCGUAAAGAGCUCGUAGGCGAUUCAGUAAGUCGGGUGUGAAAACUCUGGGCUCAACCCAGAGACGCCACCCGAUACUGCUGUGACUUGAGUACGGUAGGGGAGUGGGGAAUUCCUGGUGUAGCGGUGAAAUGCGCAGAUAUCAGGAGGAACACCAGUGGCGAAGGCGCCACUCUGGGCCGUAACUGACGCUGAGGAGCGAAAGCGUGGGUAGCAAACAGG
This 254-nucleotide ribosomal RNA is filed under the name uncultured bacterium. Its description in RNAcentral is "partial 16S ribosomal RNA". It matches the Rfam family "Bacterial small subunit ribosomal RNA", at positions 524 to 776 of the family's 1533-position model. The record is from RNAcentral.